UACGAAGGGGGCUAGCGUUGUUCGGAAUUACUGGGCGUAAAGCGCACGUAGGCGGAUUGUUAAGUCGGGGGUGAAAUCCUGAGGCUCAACCUCAGAACUGCCUUCGAUACUGGCAAUCUCGAGUCCGGAAGAGGUUGGUGGAACAGCUAGUGUAGAGGUGAAAUUCGUAGAUAUUAGGAAGAACACCGGUGGCGAAGGCGGUCAACUGGCCCGUAACUGACGCUCAGGCACGAAAGCGUGGGUAGCGAACAGG
This 253-nucleotide ribosomal RNA is filed under the name uncultured bacterium. RNAcentral's name for it is "partial 16S ribosomal RNA". It matches the Rfam family "Bacterial small subunit ribosomal RNA", at positions 524 to 776 of the family's 1533-position model. The record is from RNAcentral.